Molecule: long non-coding RNA, 594 nt
Filed under: Nicotiana benthamiana
Lineage: Eukaryota; Viridiplantae; Streptophyta; Magnoliopsida; Solanales; Solanaceae
Description: long non-coding RNA (NBEN_LNC010523)
Source: RNAcentral
UCUAAUCUAGCCCUAUCUCUAGGGUGUAAUUUUAUAUGCCUAGUCCAACUACCCGUGCCGCUACGGUAUCCAGUAUACCUAUGAAACAAGGGUGAUCACUAUCAAGCAUUAUGGGAGGCGGAUUAGGACGUCUAGAUUGCCUACUACUUUCAACUUGCUUAUCUUUUUUAGGUCGGGGAGCCGGGGGAAGGGUAGUAUUAUGGCCAUUACUUUCACCGGUUUUACCUUUUCCUUUACCGAACAUUUUUUUUCAAAGAAAAUGUCUUACUAAUUAGAAUUAUGUAAACUAAAAAACACAAAAAUAUAUUAUUAGCAUUUAAGAGUUGAAACGAGUUUACCGGAUUGCCGAACAACUUCUUGAAAAUUGAAAAUCGUUGAACUUGAAUACUUAAAAACUUCAAUUCAACAACUUCACAAAUUUUCACGAUUUUUCAAUAAUAAAUUAAUCACUUGUACUAAAGAUUGAAAGAGAACUUGAGAGGAUUGAGAGAUAUUGAUGAAUUGGUGAAUAAAAAUGAAAGAAUGAGGGGGUAUUUAUAUUUGAAAAAUGGGAAAAGUGUAAUUAUAUAAAGUUUGGGUUAAAUUAAAGUUUGG